Molecule: ribosomal RNA, 465 nt
Filed under: uncultured bacterium
Lineage: Bacteria
Description: partial 16S ribosomal RNA
Rfam family: Bacterial small subunit ribosomal RNA
Source: RNAcentral
CCUACGGGUGGCAGCAGUGGGGAAUAUUGCGCAAUGGGCGAAAGCCUGACGCAGCGACGCCGCGUGAGGGAUGAAGGUCUUCGGAUCGUAAACCUCUGUCAGCAGGGAAGAACGGUCACUGUGCUAAUCAGCAGUGCAUUGACGGUACCUGCAAAGGACGCACCGGCUAACUCCGUGCCAGCAGCCGCGGUAAUACGGAGGGUGCGAGCGUUAAUCGGAAUUACUGGGCGUAAAGGCCUCGUAGGAGGUAUGUCAAGUCAAGGGUGAAAUCCCCGCGCUCAACGUGGGAACUGCCUUUGAAACUGGCAAACUGGAGUGUGUGAGAGGAUAGUGGAAUUCCAGGUGUAGGAGUGAAAUCCGUAGAUAUCUGGAGGAACAUCAGUGGCGAAGGCGACUAUCUGGCACAUAACUGACGCUGAGGAGCGAAAGCGUGGGUAGCAAACAGGAUUAGAUACCCCUGUAGUC